CAGGCUUCAUUUGGAGUCGGUCCUGGCUGUUGCUCAGGUGACCAGCUUGUGUCUCUGGGAGGGCACUGCUUUCCCCGGCCACCCGGUGCGAUGAUCCAGAAUGUCGGAAAUCACCUGCGACGGCUCUCUUUGGAAGGAGAAAUCGCAGAGCCCCUGGGCUGGUUUAUUAUUGGCAGCAAUCUCCAAGCAAGCCCCAGGGGCUGUCAGAUCCCCCACGGGGUGGCUGUGUUGAGUGGAAUCACCUUCAGCAAGUGUUGGCCUCUGGAAUUCUAUUCGGGCUUGGCCUCUGUGUUCUCCAGCCGUACAUCCCGGAAGUCAGCCUUACGUGCAGGGAACGACAGUGCCAUGGCAGACAGCGAGGGAUACCGGAACCCCACGGAGGUGCAGAUGAGCCAGCUGGUGCUGCCCUGCCAUACCAACCAACGCGGCGAGCUGAGCGUCGGGCAGCUGCUCAAGUGGAUUGACACCACGGCCUGCCUAUCUGCGGAGAGGCACGCUGGCUGCCCCUGUGUCACAGCUUCCAUGGAUGACGUCUAUUUUGAGCACACCAUUAGUGUUGGACAAGUGGUGAAUAUCAAGGCCAAGGUGAACCGGGCCUUCAACUCCAGCAUGGAGGUGGGCAUCCAGGUGACCUCGGAGGACCUGUGCUCUGAGAAGCAGUGGAAUGUGUGCAAGGCCUUGGCCACCUUCGUGGCCCGCCGAGAGAUCACCAAGGUGAAGCUGAAGCAGAUCACGCCGCGGACAGAGGAGGAGAAGAUGGAGCACAGUGUGGCGGCUGAGCGCCGGCGCAUGCGCCUUGUCUAUGCGGACACCAUCAAGGACCUCCUGGCCAACUGCGCCAUUCAGGACGAUCUGGAGAGCAGAGACUGUAGCCGCAUGGUGCCGGCUGAGAAGACCCGUGUGGAGAGUGUGGAGCUGGUCCUGCCUCCCCACGCCAAUCACCAGGGCAACACCUUCGGGGGCCAGAUCAUGGCCUGGAUGGAGAAUGUGGCCACCAUUGCAGCCAGGUAAGGGCAGAGUGUGCUGCCUCUGCCUCCCCUCCUUUCUCCUCCUCCUCCCCUUGGCCACCUCCCUCUGGAGGGGAAACCCCAGCUUGGGGUUGGCAUUCAAGGCUUCAGAAGCUUGGCUGUUCUGAAUCAGAGAAAUGAAUUUUUGUGAACUGACCAUUCCUUGUUCUACUAAAAAAGCUAGCAUCUUUUACAUGGGAAACACCAGGUCUCUUGGCCUGGCACUAGAUCCUCCCCUUGAUCUGGCCCUACCUGCACUCCUUCUAGUAUCUAUGUUCCCUUCACAUCAAGCCAUUUGCCGUUCUCUGUUGCCGUCCUCCACUUUCCCAGCCCCUGCCUUUGCUCCUGAUGUAGCCUCCUGCUGUGCUUCCCCUACUCGUCUUUGUCUGCUAAUAUCCUUCCCACUUCCUCCAUAAAGCCAUCUCUGACUGUUCCCUUCUUCUAAGGGGUGAAAAUUGUUUUCUCUCCUCUAACAUCUGUUUCUGUCCGGGGCUUGUUCUACCCUAAAUAUCAGGGUAUUUUUUAUAGUUAUGGUAACUGACCUUCACUAAUUGACACUCUCACACCUCCAAGACUUUGCUCUUGCUGUUCCCUCUACCAGGAGUGCCUUUCCCAACCCAUUCCCUUCCCAGCCAGGUGGAUUCCUCCUUCUUAUUCAGAGUCUGGCUUAAAUGGCCCCUCCUCCAGUUUAACCUGUGGGAGACAGUGCAUAAGCAAUGCUGUUUUGGGCAGGCCUGGCUAUGAGUGCGGUAAGAUCCUGGAGGAGCCUCAUGGUCAGGGAAGGCUGCCUGAAGGAAGAGCACUUCAGCUGGGACUUGAAUGCCAAGUAGCUUUGGGUAAGGGGAGGGCUUCUGGAUAGUGGGAACAGCAGCUACCAAGGUGUAAAAGUUGGAAGGAAAAUGGGAAAGGGGUUUACCUCAAGCCCUGCUUUCUUCUGUCCCCUCAAACCUGGCUCCUUUCCAGCCAUGCAUAGACCUCAGUAUUCUAAGCUAUGAAAUGGGACUUUAGUUCUGUGCCUCUGAGCAGAACUGCCUCUGGGUUGGGUGGCAGUGGGUGGGUCAGAAUGUGUAGUUCCAGGCUGGGUCUGGGGAUGGGACCAGGGUAGAAGGCCAGCCCAAGCUGGCCUAGCGUGGUGGCUCACACCUGUAAUCCCAGCACUGUGGGAGGCUGAGGCCACUUAGGCCAGGAGUUCAAGACCAGCCUGGCAACAAGGUAAAACCUCAUCUCUACUAAAUAUACAAAAAUUAGCCAAGUGUGGUGGUGCGUGCCUGUAGUCUCAGCUACUUGGGAGGCUGAGGCAGGAGAGUCACUUGAACCUGGGAGGCGGAGGUUGCAGUGAGCUGAGAUUGCACCAAUGCAUUCCAGCCUGGGCAACAGAGUGAAACCCUGUCUCAAAAAAAAAAAAAAAAGAGA
This 2420-nucleotide small RNA is filed under the name Pongo abelii (Sumatran orangutan). Its description in RNAcentral is "processed transcript". The record is from RNAcentral. Lineage: Eukaryota; Metazoa; Chordata; Mammalia; Primates; Hominidae.